RNAcentral lists this ribosomal RNA (462 nucleotides) under uncultured bacterium. RNAcentral describes it as "partial 16S ribosomal RNA". It matches the Rfam family "Bacterial small subunit ribosomal RNA", at positions 28 to 507 of the family's 1533-position model. The record is from RNAcentral.
GAUGAACGCUGACAGAAUGCUUAACACAUGCAAGUCUUUGGCGAAGCUGUGCUUGCACAGCCUAGCCAAGGCGGACGGGUGAGUAACGCGUAAGGAACUUGCCCUGCAGUCAGGGAUAACAGACGGAAACGACUGAUAAGACCUGGUAAAGUCAGGCGGACUCAUGUCCAGCCUGAUGAAAAGAGAUGCUGCAGGAGAGCCUUGCGUCCUAUUAGCUUGUUGGUGGGGUAACAGCCCACCAAGGCGAUGAUAGGUAGCCGGCCUGAGAGGGUGGACGGCCACAAGGGGACUGAGAUACGGCCCUUACUCCUACGGGAGGCAGCAGUGGGGAAUAUUGGACAAUGGGGGCAACCCUGAUCCAGCAAUUCUGUGUGCACGAUGAAGGUUUUCGGAUUGUAAAGUGCUUUCAGCAGGGAAGAAAAAAUGACGGUACCUGCAGAAGAAGCGACGGCUAAAUACGUG